GAUGAAGAACGUAGCGAAAUGCGAUAAGUAAUGUGAAUUGCAGAAUUCAGUGAAUCAUCGAAUCUUUGAACGCACAUUGCGCCCGCCAGUAUUCUGGCGGGCAUGCCUGUUCGAGCGUCAUUUCAACCAUCAAGCCCCCGGCUUGUGUUGGGGACCUGCGGCUGCCGCAGGCCCUGAAAACCAGUGGCGGGCUCGCUGUCACACCGAGCGUAGUAGAUUUUCAUCUCGCUCAGGGCGUGCUGCGGGUUCCGGCCGUAAAAAGCCUUAUUUACCCAAGGUUGACCUCGGAUCAGGUAGGAAGACCCGCUGAACUUAAGCAUAUCAAUAAGCGGGAGGA
RNAcentral lists this unclassified non-coding RNA (337 nucleotides) under soil metagenome. RNAcentral's name for it is "partial contains 5.8S ribosomal RNA, internal transcribed spacer 2, and large subunit ribosomal RNA". The stretch from base 1 to 120 matches the Rfam family "5.8S ribosomal RNA", at positions 35 to 154 of the family's 154-position model. The record is from RNAcentral.